Molecule: ribosomal RNA, 716 nt
Filed under: groundwater metagenome
Description: bacterial SSU rRNA
Rfam family: Archaeal small subunit ribosomal RNA
Source: RNAcentral
AAACGGAUUAGAUACCCGUGUAGUCCUAGCAGUAAACACUGCACACUAAACAUCAGUGCCUCCUCGAGAGGCAUUGGUCCUGUACCGAAGGGGGAAAGUGUGCUACCUCGGAAGUAUAGUCGCAAGACCGAAACUUAAAGGAACAGGCGGGGGGGUACUACAACGAGUGACGCGUGCGGUUCAAUUAGAUUCUACACCGUGAACCUCACCAGGGUCGACAGCAGAAUGAAGGUCAGUCUGAAGGGCUUACCUGACACGCUGAGAGGAGAUGCAUGGCCGACGUCAGCCUGUGUCGUGAGAUGACUUGUUAAAUCAAGUAACAGGCGAGACCCGUGUGUAUGUUUGCAUUUGUUCAAUAUACAGACUGCUGUGGUAACACAGAGGAAGGCGCGGGCUACGUUAGGUGAGUACGUCCCAAAUACCCUGGGCUACACGCGCGCGGCAAUGAUACAUACAAAGGGCUGCAACGCCGAAAGGCGAAGCUAAUCUCAUAAAGUGUAUCUUAGUUCAGAUCGAGGAUUGCAACUCAUCCUCGUGACGCUGGAAUUCGUAGUAAUCGGAUUUUAUAAGAGUCCGGUGAAUAAGUCAAUGCCCCUUGCACUCACCGCCCGUCAAACCAACCGAGUUUUGCAUUUACGAGGCCCGUUAGGGACGAAUCUUUGUAAGACAAGGUAGGUUAAGUCGUCACAAGGUAUCCGUAGGGGAACCUGCGGAUG